AUUGAACGCUGGCGGCAGGCCUAACACAUGCAAGUCGAGCGAGCGGCGGACGGGUGAGUAAUGUAUGGGGACUGCCCGAUAGAGGGGGAUAACUACUGGAAACGGUGGCUAAUACCGCAUACUAUCGGAUAACCCAUAUGGGAUUAGCUAGUGGGUGGGGUAAAGGCUCACCUAGGCGACGAUCUCUAGCUGGUCUGAGAGGGUGAUCAGCCAAACUGGGACUGGGAAACGGCCCGGACUCCUACGGAGGCAGCAGUGGGGAAUAUUGGAAAAUGGGCGCAAGCCGGAUGCAGCCAGGCCGCGUGGAUGAAGAAGGCCUUAGGGCUGUAAAGUACUUUCAGCGGGGAGGCGGUACCCGCAGAAGAAGCACCGGCUAACUCCGUGCCAGCAGCCGCGGUAAUAC
This 403-nucleotide ribosomal RNA is filed under the name uncultured bacterium. Its description in RNAcentral is "partial 16S ribosomal RNA". It matches the Rfam family "Bacterial small subunit ribosomal RNA", at positions 29 to 526 of the family's 1533-position model. The record is from RNAcentral.